UAUAAGACUGGGAUAACUUCGGGAAACCGGAGCUAAUACCGGAUAAUAUUUCGAACCGCAUGGUUCGAUAGUGAAAGAUGGCUUUGCUAUCACUUAUAGAUGGACCUGCGCCGUAUUAGCUAGUUGGUAAGGUAACGGCUUACCAAGGCAACGAUACGUAGCCGACCUGAGAGGGUGAUCGGCCACACUGGAACUGAGACACGGUCCAGACUCCUACGGGAGGCAGCAGUAGGGAAUCUUCCGCAAUGGGCGAAAGCCUGACGGAGCAACGCCGCGUGAGUGAUGAAGGUCUUCGGAUCGUAAAACUCUGUUAUUAGGGAAGAACAAACGUGUAAGUAACUGUGCACGUCUUGACGGUACCUAAUCAGAAAGCCACGGCUAACUACGUGCCAGCAGCCGCGGUAAUACGUAGGUGGCAAGCGUUAUCCGGAAUUAUUGGGCGUAAAGCGCGCGUAGGCGGUUUUUUAAGUCUGAUGUGAAAGCCCACGGCUCAACCGUGGAGGGUCAUUGGAAACUGGAAAACUUGAGUGCAGAAGAGGAAAGUGGAAUUCCAUGUGUAGCGGUGAAAUGCGCAGAGAUAUGGAGGAACACCAGUGGCGAAGGCGACUUUCUGGUCUGUAACUGACGCUGAUGUGCGAAAGCGUGGGGAUCAAACAGGAUUAGAUACCCUGGUAGUCCACGCCGUAAACGAUGAGUGCUAAGUGUUAGGGGGUUUCCGCCCCUUAGUGCUGCAGCUAACGCAUUAAGCACUCCGCCUGGGGAGUACGACCGCAAGGUUGAAACUCAAAG
RNAcentral lists this ribosomal RNA (789 nucleotides) under uncultured Staphylococcus sp. RNAcentral describes it as "bacterial SSU rRNA". It matches the Rfam family "Bacterial small subunit ribosomal RNA", at positions 131 to 906 of the family's 1533-position model. The record is from RNAcentral. Lineage: Bacteria; Bacillati; Bacillota; Bacilli; Caryophanales; Staphylococcaceae.